RNAcentral lists this ribosomal RNA (626 nucleotides) under uncultured bacterium. RNAcentral describes it as "bacterial SSU rRNA". The stretch from base 1 to 533 matches the Rfam family "Bacterial small subunit ribosomal RNA", at positions 338 to 873 of the family's 1533-position model. The record is from RNAcentral.
CCUACGGGAGGCAGCAGUGGGGAAUAUUGGACAAUGGGCGGAAGCCUGAUCCAGCAACGCCGCGUGAGGGGUGACGGCCUUCGGGUUGUAAACCUCUUUCAGUACCGACGAAGCGCCGAUGAUGGUGGUGACGGUAGGUACAGAAGAAGCACCGGCCAACUACGUGCCAGCAGCCGCGGUAAUACGUAGGGUGCGAGCGUUGUCCGGAAUUAUUGGGCGUAAAGGGCUCGUAGGCGGUUUGUCGCGUCGGGAGUGAAAAUCCAGGGCUUAACUCUGGACUGGCUUUCGAUACGGGCAGACUAGAGGUAUGCAGGGGAGAACGGAAUUCCUGGUGUAGCGGUGAAAUGCGCAGAUAUCAGGAGGAACACCGGUGGCGAAGGCGGUUCUCUGGGCAUUACCUGACGCUGAGGAGCGAAAGUGUGGGGAGCGAACAGGAUUAGAUACCCCUGGUAGUCCACACCGUAAACGUUGGGCGCUAGGUGUGGGGCCCUAUUCCAUGGGUUCCGUGCCGCNGCUACGCAUAGUCGCCCGCCGUCGGGAGGUACGGCCGGCGACGGACGUAAACGUUAAAACGGUAAAGUUAGACGGCGUGAGACGUGCCGACGGACGACGACGAGGGAGGUAGG